RNAcentral lists this long non-coding RNA (2332 nucleotides) under Orbicella faveolata. RNAcentral's name for it is "uncharacterized LOC110069748". Lineage: Eukaryota; Metazoa; Cnidaria; Anthozoa; Scleractinia; Merulinidae. The record is from RNAcentral.
ACAUGGACAGUGAAAUGUUGUCUAUUCACAUUAUGCAGAGAAAGAAAGAACCAGUGUUAUUGAAAGGAUAAAGGCUGAACUUGACACCUGGAAAGAGUUUUAGAAGCUGCAGUCUCUGGUUGAACAGCAAAGGAAAAUUAAAGAACAAUCUCAAAGGUGUCUCAGUUGGACACUCACUGGUGGUCAUGGACAGUCAGCACUUAAGUCCUGCGCUGCUUUACACCUCCCAGAUUGAUAAAUAGGUGAAUUGGCAAAUGAAAUACUGGGGGUAAAACCUGCCAGAAAUUAAUGUUCGUGGAUGUGCGAAGGCCUGUUGUUCUUACAAAGACGAGUGUAUAUUCUUGCUGAAAGAAGAUGGAAAAAGGCUAGGAGAAAAGUCAACUCUAUUUCAACCGAAGGAUUUCAGGAUAUGGCUAUUGACCAGGUGAGGAGGCAACGAAAGAGGAAUCUGGUCAUGAAGGCAAAUUGGGAUCUUUGCAUCAAGAGAAAUUCCUGCAAAGAUAAGAAUUAUCGAAUAGUAAUAGUAAAUAGACUGAUCAAAUGAGUAGAUUUGCCGGAGAGAACUUCACUUGCCGUAGUUGCCUUGCCAUAUCGGACUAGUUACGAAAAAGGUAAACACCACGGACAAGGAAAUUGGCGCAAUUUAUUUUAUUGAAUAAACAUUUUGAUCACCGCCAUUUUCUGAAAUAGUUUUAGAGGGGUGUUCGUUAUUUUAGAGACCAAUGCAAACCUAGGGAUUUUCAGAAUUGAUAGUAAAUUCACGCCGAUGUUAAAAUUGCCAGAAGUGUAACCUUUAAACAAAUUUGUUAUGAUGUUUAGCACAUGUAAUUUUUGGUAGGUAAAUUUGUCGCCAAAAGCAAAGACGAGUUUUCGAUUUUGUACUAUCGAUCGAUCAAGGUUGUUAUCAAAAUAUUAAUACUCAUUACUACUAGUCACUAUGGUUACACUGACUGUCGAUAUCAUAGAUUUAAAGUGGCACUACAAGACGAAAGAGCUCUAAAACAUGACACUAUUUUUCAAACAGAUAUUUUUUAUAGAAAAUUAAUGCUAACUGAAUGUCGACUUAGCACAUAACAUUGAAGUGUAGCAAGAAAUGUCUGUUAAUUUCUACAAUGCACUCGACAGUGCUACAGUGAAAAGAUUCACACGUUUGUUUCGUUAUCUGAUUAGUACAACUAGUGUCCUUUUGAAAAAACGUGUGUUCGUUCUCGUUUCGUUUUGAGAAUUUUUGUAUAUCAAACCCAAAUGUCUGGUUGGGCGUAGAAGCAUUCUCAAUUGUAAGUCAAAAUCCAUUGACCACAAGCAAAAAAUGAGAAAUGAAGGAGAAAUUUGUUUUUUAUGCUGGGUACUUAAUAUUAAAAAGAACAAACAAAAUCAUUAUGAUAAAGUCAGUACUAAAAAUUUUAAAUUCGAAAUUUAAAUUGUCUUGGUUAACCUUUUUAAAUUUAACAUCACCUUUUGGUGUUUUGCCAUAAAUAGCCAAAGUGGAGAAGAUUGAGUUAGAAGUUUUGUUUCAGUGAAUUUGUCAAUUGUUUUACAAGAAUAAAAUGCAAGUAAACGAAAGUGGAAGUAACUGAAAGAAAAUGUUGAUCGAGAUGUUCUCUCUUUGGUGUCAUCACGGUGUGAUAGCUUUAAAGUUCAUUCAUUUAAUUUCCAUGUGCCAGUUGAUUAGGAAAACUCAGAAGAACGCCUCUCUACCUCGGGCCAGACAUUGGAUUCAUCAAAAGAAAAGACUUGUUACAUUGAAAAACAUCUUUCUGCCGGCCCUCAAUGUUACGCAGGACAUAGUAGCAAAAGGGAAUUCAAGUGAAUUACGCAUUGCGGAAUUUAGAAAAAUUGAAUUUACAUUUUUACCAAAAAUUGUAAAAAAUGAUCCCCUGAAGUUCGACUGACCUUGAAUGACCUUGCGUAGCUCGGCGUACACGAAAGCCGCGAUGUUGAUUUUUUUUUUUUUAUUAUAAUGCAAAUCUAUCGACGUGAAUUUUGAUGCGGCAAACAAUUUUUCGCGUUUGAAAGAACUGUAUAUUCAGAUAAUCAAAAUGUAACUUAAUUACUGGUCACAAUUUUCUUUGAACAUUGCUAUUAUUACAUCUCUCUCAGUCUGUAGUUUCCUUAUCAUGUACAACGUGGGUUCGCAUCUAGUGCAUUGAGAAUUUUUAAUAUAGGAGCGUCGCAUAAUUUCCAUUUUUUCGACACUAGUCAAUUCAUUCUUCUCUUUGACUACAGUUUGAUAGUUCAGUUUCGAGUGUUUCACGAAGAUUUUUGUGGAGUCACUUUCUGUUAAAAACAAAAGAAAUGACAACCGAGCGAUGUGUAGAUAUCUGAUCUUAAU